This 551-nucleotide ribosomal RNA is filed under the name Salmonella enterica subsp. enterica serovar Veneziana. RNAcentral describes it as "partial 23S ribosomal RNA". It matches the Rfam family "Bacterial large subunit ribosomal RNA", at positions 161 to 649 of the family's 2925-position model. Lineage: Bacteria; Pseudomonadati; Pseudomonadota; Gammaproteobacteria; Enterobacterales; Enterobacteriaceae. The record is from RNAcentral.
AAUCCAUAGGUUAAUGAGGCGAACCGGGGGAACUGAAACAUCUAAGUACCCCGAGGAAAAGAAAUCAACCGAGAUUCCCCCAGUAGCGGCGAGCGAACGGGGAGGAGCCCAGAGCCUGAAUCAGCAUGUGUGUUAGUGGAAGCGUCUGGAAAGGCGCGCGAUACAGGGUGACAGCCCCGUACACAAAAGCGCAUGUGCUGUGAGCUCGAUGAGUAGGGCGGGACACGUGGUAUCCUGUCUGAAUAUGGGGGGACCAUCCUCCAAGGCUAAAUACUCCUGACUGACCGAUAGUGAACCAGUACCGUGAGGGAAAGGCGAAAAGAACCCCGGCGAGGGGAGUGAAAAAGAACCUGAAACCGUGUACGUACAAGCAGUGGGAGCCCCACCACUAAGCCAGUGGUGAACUCCACAUACGCAUCCUUUGCUGAGGAUACGGUUAACGGAGCGAAAGCGACGUUCAACCUCAAAACAAGCAGAGGGGGCUUAGUGGUGGGGUGACUGCGUACCUUUUGUAUAAUGGGUCAGCGACUUAUAUUCUGUAGCAAGGUUAA